ACUGGCAGGCUUGAGUCUUGUAGAGGGGGGUAGAAUUCCAGGUGUAGCGGUGAAAUGCGUAGAGAUCUGGAGGAAUACCGGUGGCGAAGGCGGCCCCCUGGACAAAGACUGACGCUCAGGUGCGAAAGCGUGGGGAGCAAACAGGAUUAGAUACCCUGGUAGUCCACGCCGUAAACGAUGUCUACUUGGAGGUUGUGCCCUUGAGGCGUGGCUUCCGGAGCUAACGCGUUAAGUAGACCGCCUGGGGAGUACGGCCGCAAGGUUAAAACUCAAAUGAAUUGACGGGGGCCCGCACAAGCGGUGGAGCAUGUGGUUUAAUUCGAUGCAACGCGAAGAACCUUACCUGGUCUUGACAUCCACAGAACUUUCCAGAGAUGGAUUGGUGCCUUCGGGAACUGUGAGACAGGUGCUGCAUGGCUGUCGUCAGCUCGUGUUGUGAAAUGUUGGGUUAAGUCCCGCAACGAGCGCAACCCUUAUCCUUUGUUGCCAGCGAUUAGG
Molecule: ribosomal RNA, 498 nt
Filed under: Salmonella enterica subsp. enterica serovar Norwich
Lineage: Bacteria; Pseudomonadati; Pseudomonadota; Gammaproteobacteria; Enterobacterales; Enterobacteriaceae
Description: bacterial SSU rRNA
Rfam family: Bacterial small subunit ribosomal RNA
Source: RNAcentral